RNAcentral lists this long non-coding RNA (407 nucleotides) under Elaeis guineensis (African oil palm). Its description in RNAcentral is "long non-coding RNA (EGUI_LNC054996)". Lineage: Eukaryota; Viridiplantae; Streptophyta; Magnoliopsida; Arecales; Arecaceae. The record is from RNAcentral.
ACUUACAUGGCUAACAUGAUAAAUUAUAUUUUGAUUAGAUCGCUAAGUGAUUCGAGUUGACCCAUAUCAUUAAGAAAAUCAGUAUGACUGAUUUAAGUACCCCGGACUAGCUUGUAUCUAGUCUUCUUUGAUUUGACUUGAUGAAGUCAGUAGGAGAAUUUUGAUUAGCUAGUCAAUCUCUUCAUUUAAAAUAUAUUAAAUAAAUCUUCUAAAUUAUUAGAUCCAUAAAAUAAAAUAAUUAUAAAAAUAAUUAGAUCAUAGCCUUCCAUUAAGUUGAGUGAUAAUGGAUCCAUUAGUCUAAUAAUCAUUAGAGGCCCAAAGACCUGGAGCUUAUCUGCUAUUAAAAUUAUCAUUCAUAAUAUGAUAACUCAGUCAUCUCUUUGAUGAGAGGUCAGUUAGCUAACCAA